This 253-nucleotide ribosomal RNA is filed under the name uncultured bacterium. RNAcentral describes it as "partial 16S ribosomal RNA". It matches the Rfam family "Bacterial small subunit ribosomal RNA", at positions 524 to 776 of the family's 1533-position model. The record is from RNAcentral.
UACGUAGGGUGCAAGCGUUGUCCGGAAUUAUUGGGCGUAAAGAGCUCGUAGGCGGUUUGUUGCGUCGGCUGUGAAAUCCCGAGGCUCAACCUCGGGUCUGCAGUCGAUACGAGCAAACUAGAGUGUUGCAGGGGAGACUGGAAUUCCUGGUGUAGCGGUGAAAUGCGCAGAUAUCAGGAGGAACACCGGUGGCGAAGGCGGCAUUCUGGACUACAACUGACACUGAGGAACGAAAGCCAGGGGAGCAAACGGG